Molecule: ribosomal RNA, 332 nt
Filed under: Candida tropicalis
Lineage: Eukaryota; Fungi; Ascomycota; Pichiomycetes; Serinales; Debaryomycetaceae
Description: SSU rRNA
Rfam family: Eukaryotic small subunit ribosomal RNA
Source: RNAcentral
GGCUCAUUAAUCAGUUAUCGUUUAUUUGAUAGUACCUUACUACUUGGAUAACCGUGGAUUCUAGAGCUAAUACAUGCUUAAAAUCCCGACUGUUUGGAAGGGAGUAUUUAUUAGAUAAAAAUCAAUGUCUUCGGACUCUUUGAUGAUCAUAAUAACUUUUCGAAUCGCAUGGCCUUGUGCUGGCGAUGGUUCUUCAAAUUUCUGCCCUAUCAACUUUCGAUGGUAGGAAGUGGCCUACCAUGGUUUCAACGGGUAACGGGGAAAAGGGUCGAUUCCGGAGAGGGAGCCUGAGAACGGCUACCACAUCCAAGGAAGGCAGCAGGCGCGCAAUU